This 253-nucleotide ribosomal RNA is filed under the name uncultured bacterium. Its description in RNAcentral is "partial 16S ribosomal RNA". It matches the Rfam family "Bacterial small subunit ribosomal RNA", at positions 524 to 776 of the family's 1533-position model. The record is from RNAcentral.
UACAGAGGUCUCAAGCGUUGUUCGGAUUCAUUGGGCGUAAAGGGUGCGUAGGCGGCGCGGUAAGUCGGGUGUGAAAUCUCGGAGCUUAACUCCGAAACUGCAUUCGAUACUGCCGUGCUUGAGGACUGGAGAGGAGACUGGAAUUUACGGUGUAGCGGUGAAAUGCGUAGAUAUCGUAAGGAAGACCAGUGGCGAAGGCGGUUACCUGGACAAUUACUGACGCUCAGGCACGAAAGCGUGGGGAGCAAAAGGG